AACGAACGCUGGCGGCAUGCCUAACACAUGCAAGUCGAACGAAGGCUUCGGCCUUAGUGGCGCACGGGUGCGUAACGCGUGGGAAUCUGCCCUUGGGUUCGGAAUAACAGUUAGAAAUGACUGCUAAUACCGGAUGAUGUCGUAAGACCAAAGAUUUAUCGCCCAGGGAUGAGCCCGCGUAAAGAUUAGGUAGUUGGUGGGUAAAGGCCUACCAAGCCGACGAUCUUUAGCUGGUCUGAGAGGAUGAUCAGCCACACUGGGACUGAGACACGGCCCAGACUCCUACGGGAGGCAGCAGUGGGGAAUAUUGGACAAUGGGCGAAAGCCUGAUCCAGCAAUGCCGCGUGAGUGAUGAAGGCCUUAGGGUUGUAAAGCUCUUUUACCAGGGAUGAUAAUGACAGUACCUGGAGAAUAAGCUCCGGCUAACUCCGUGCCAGCAGCCGCGGUAAU
RNAcentral lists this ribosomal RNA (450 nucleotides) under uncultured bacterium. Its description in RNAcentral is "bacterial SSU rRNA". It matches the Rfam family "Bacterial small subunit ribosomal RNA", at positions 29 to 524 of the family's 1533-position model. The record is from RNAcentral.